UCUCCUAUCCUUUAGUAAUUGUUUUAAAUUUUGUCUUUGGUACUGGGGAUCAAACUCGGGACCUUGCACUUCCUAGACAGGUGCUUAUGCUGCUGAGCUAUCUCCCUGGCCUAUAAUUUGUUUUAUUAAGCCAAUCAUGGCACUGAUGAUAAUCAAGUCUUUUAAUAGACACAUAAUCCUUAAGAGAAGCAUGUUAAGGACUGUACAUUUAUUACUUUUCCUAAUUUAUUUCAUCAGUGACAAGCAUUUUUUAUAUGUAACACAGGUGAUUGAGGACUGUCUUACAGAAUUUUAAAAUUCAGCAAACAGCUAAUUGUGAUGAAGAGAAAUACUACAGAGCAAUGGUGGCAAACGUACAGCACCACACCAGCCACACAGAACCCUCUGUCGGCACGAGCCAAGUUGCUGUAGCAGCCAGGCAUCACCUAACAGCUGUUCCAUCUAAACUACAACCUCGGUAUUUAGGUGUAAUUAUACUUUGAAGUAAAUAAAUGGACUUGAGGUUGCCAUUUGGGGACUCGGUCUCUAAAAGCUUCACAGUCAUUACUGUAGAGCCAAUAUUCAUUCCUUACAUUCAGUAAAGCUUGGCUAGGAAUUCCAUUAAGCUUGACUAGGAAUAUUACCUCUAAUCUUACUUAUGACCUCUUGGUCAGCGUCAGGGCAUUUCUAAAAUAUAGAUCUUGUACUGUACAAGUUAACACUCCUUCAGUAUCUGUCAUCUAUAGGGAAAUGAUCGAACAAGUUUUCACGAACUGUCCCCACUGUAUCUUAUUAAGUAGUGCUUUAUAGUCAUCCUGGGAUCCACCCUCUCUUAGAAAACACAUGCUCUUGUACCUCCAUGUCUUCUUACAUAGCUCCAUUUACCUUCCUCCCACCCAAAACCAGAACCCUCAGCCAAAACAUUGCUUCUCUGUGUAGAUGACUGUAUUUGUCACUUUCCUGUUGCUGUAGGAGUUUUUGACUCAUAGUUUCAGAGGAAUCAAUCCAUGGUCAGCUUGUACACAACAGAAACAGCAUGGUGGAAGGGCUGAAGAGAGGACAGCUCAUCCCAUGGCAUCCAGGUAGCAGUAAGAAGCAGAGGAUGAGGAUAAACCCUUCUAGGUCAGGCCUUCACCUCCUAACAGUACAUAUUAAAUCAAGUACUAAACUUGAUGAUUGAAUCCACUGAUGAGUAUAAUGUCCCUAAUGACUGACUGCAUCACCUUCCAAACAUGAGAGUAAUGGAGGCAUUUUAGACCUAAACUACAAUACUGGUAUUCUUAAUAUUUGUCACUCACCCUACACCCCCUCCAAGGCCCUUGUAGCUCUGUGUGUGUGUGUGUGUAUGUGUGUGUGUGUGUGUGUAUUAGUCAGUGCUUACUAGAGUCAGAUGUAGAAGAGUACAGAUGUCUGUCUGUGUGCUGGAGACCUGAAGAAUUCAGUCAAGGGCUUGGAGCCCAUGGCAAUGUCCCAUCUAGUCUGCAUCAAGGAUUUGUACCCAUCAGCCCCAUGGGCCAGUGGUGGAAGCUGGAAAGCCUGUGCUGGCAGUGUGAAGGAUCUGUGCCAGAAGGCCAAGAGAUCUGAGCUCAAAGCCAAGAGACAAUGUCCAAGAAAAAGACAAGGAUUGAUGUUCUCCUGAAGGAAGACAGCAGUGAAAACUCCUUUGAAGAAAAACCACAGAAAAGAAGCUUCUUCAGGAAAAUUGGCAGCAUGCAAUCUUGGUCUCCUGUUCUUUUAUGCAAUUCUGGCAACAAUCCUUAGUUUCCUCUGUCAUCUCUAAACUUAAGUGCCUUUGAAGCUAUGAUAUGGAAGAAAGCAAGACCUGAACACCUGCCUGAUUUCCCCCUCUACAUUCUCACUUGCCAUGUGAUCUGCAGAACAUUAGGACAGUUAAGGUCAGUAGCUGUCCUUGUAGACAAUGGAGUAUUUCUAUGACUAUACCUGAAAUAUCUCAAUUUAGUAUUCUGUGAAAUAACAAUAAUGCUAAAAAGGAAAUUUAGUACUUUCAAAACAAUGUAAUACUUUUAAAAUUGGUCUACUUGUUCAUUACAAUGAUUAAAUUUAGAGCACACAAAAGGUAUUGAUAAAAAUAGACUAUAAAACAUUAAAUGUGAAUCCGUAAGUCCCUCAGAUAUUUUAGACAGAGGUAGAAAAAUGGGGGGGGGGAGAUAUUUGCUUUAUAAAAACUUGUUAGCCAAUUGUGGGGAGCCAAGAUUGUUGCAAAGCCCAGGGCCUCUGGGGAUGUCUAAGGACAUGACCCCACUGUCUGAUACAUACAGUAUGAUACAUUUAUGUAAGCAUGAUUUAACAAAUAGCUGUGCAUGCACUAGACAGUUCCCACAGAACAGAGAAUGCAAGCCUGAUAACAGCUACUCUAUCUUGAGUCGAACAAUAAAAAUGCUAUUUGUUGCCGCUAUCUGUGCUGUGUUUUCUUUGGGGACCUCACCUACAACAAUACCUCUUCAGCCCCCUAACCCCAAUACUAAUACAAAAUAGAAGAAAUAAUGAAAUAUGAUUUUGCAGAACUCUCUCGACCCUAAGACCCUAAGUGAUUCAGGCUAAUUUUUCAGGGAUACUAAAAACAUUUCAGUGAAAGUUCUAGGGGAACAGGAUAUACC
Octodon degus (degu) is the source of this 2597-nucleotide long non-coding RNA. RefSeq lists it as uncharacterized. The transcript has 2 exons. NCBI's taxonomy places the organism in Eukaryota, Metazoa, Chordata, Mammalia, Rodentia, Octodontidae. The record is from RefSeq and is a predicted model, not a curated record.